Molecule: long non-coding RNA, 485 nt
Organism: Drosophila miranda
Lineage: Eukaryota; Metazoa; Arthropoda; Insecta; Diptera; Drosophilidae
Exons: 3
Source: RefSeq, a predicted model, not a curated record
GCCGCUUGAAAUCCGCGUGUACCAGGACUGGUGCCGAGGGCGUCUGUGAGCGGACCGGCCAUCUCAGCAUAGUUUUUCAUAAAGCGCUGGUACCAGUCCGCAGUUCCCAGGAAACUACGCAAUUCUCGAACAGAUCGCGGCUCGGGAAUGCGCAAAAUGGCCGACACACGAUCCGGAUCCAUCUUCAGCGCUCCUCCUCCCACUAUAAAUCCCAGACGCUCGGCAACCUGUCGCAGAAUCUUCACGUGCGUUUGGAAGUCCUCAGCUAUAAUCAGCAAGUCGUCGAGAUACGCAUAGACGUUUGAACGCAUCUCAACUGGAAUCACCUUAUCGACCAGUCUACAUAGGCGUUGUGCGGCGUUGCAGAGGCCAAUGGGCAUCAUACGGAACUGGUACAGAGGCCGUCCCGGCACCGUGAACGCCGUAUAUGGUCGACUCUGCUCGUCCAGCUCGAUUUGCCAAAAAGCGAAUUUUAAGUCGACGCU